RNAcentral lists this ribosomal RNA (1157 nucleotides) under Salmonella enterica subsp. enterica serovar Coleypark. RNAcentral's name for it is "partial 23S ribosomal RNA". It matches the Rfam family "Bacterial large subunit ribosomal RNA", at positions 1 to 1190 of the family's 2925-position model. The record is from RNAcentral. Lineage: Bacteria; Pseudomonadati; Pseudomonadota; Gammaproteobacteria; Enterobacterales; Enterobacteriaceae.
GGGUUGUGAGGUUAAGCGACUAAGCGUACACGGUGGAUGCCCUGGCAGUCAGAGGCGAUGAAGGACGUGCUAAUCUGCGAUAAGCGCCGGUAAGGUGAUAUGAACCGUUAUAACCGGCGAUUUCCGAAUGGGGAAACCCAGUGUGACUCGUCACACUAUCAUUAACUGAAUCCAUAGGUUAAUGAGGCGAACCGGGGGAACUGAAACAUCUAAGUACCCCGAGGAAAAGAAAUCAACCGAGAUUCCCCCAGUAGCGGCGAGCGAACGGGGAGGAGCCCAGAGCCUGAAUCAGCAUGUGUGUUAGUGGAAGCGUCUGGAAAGGCGCGCGAUACAGGGUGACAGCCCCGUACACAAAAGCGCAUAUGCUGUGAGCUCGAUGAGUAGGGCGGGACACGUGGUAUCCUGUCUGAAUAUGGGGGGACCAUCCUCCAAGGCUAAAUACUCCUGACUGACCGAUAGUGAACCAGUACCGUGAGGGAAAGGCGAAAAGAACCCCGGCGAGGGGAGUGAAAAAGAACCUGAAACCGUGUACGUACAAGCAGUGGGAGCACCCUUUGGGGUGUGACUGCGUACCUUUUGUAUAAUGGGUCAGCGACUUAUAUUCUGUAGCAAGGUUAACCGCAUAGGGGAGCCGGAGGGAAACCGAGUCUUAAUUGGGCGUUAAGUUGCAGGGUAUAGACCCGAAACCCGGUGAUCUAGCCAUGGGCAGGUUGAAGGUUGGGUAACACUAACUGGAGGACCGAACCGACUAAUGUUGAAAAAUUAGCGGAUGACCUGUGGCUGGGGGUGAAAGGCCAAUCAAACCGGGAGAUAGCUGGUUCUCCCCGAAAGCUAUUUAGGUAGCGCCUCGUGAAUUCAUCUCCGGGGGUAGAGCACUGUUUCGGCUAGGGGGCCAUCCCGGCUUACCAACCCGAUGCAAACUGCGAAUACCGGAGAAUGUUAUCACGGGAGACACACGGCGGGUGCUAACGUCCGUCGUGAAGAGGGAAACAACCCAGACCGCCAGCUAAGGUCCCAAAGUCAUGGUUAAGUGGGAAACGAUGUGGGAAGGCCCAGACAGCCAGGAUGUUGGCUUAGAAGCAGCCAUCAUUUAAAGAAAGCGUAAUAGCUCACUGGUCGAGUCGGCCUGCGCGGAAGAUGUAACGGGGCUAAACCAU